This 427-nucleotide long non-coding RNA is filed under the name Rattus norvegicus (Norway rat). RNAcentral describes it as "long non-coding RNA NONRATT005761". The record is from RNAcentral. Lineage: Eukaryota; Metazoa; Chordata; Mammalia; Rodentia; Muridae.
AAUUGAACUCAGGAUCUUUGGAAGAACAGCCAAUGUUCUUAACCAUGAAGGUACCUCUUCAGCGCUUGGAGAUCUGAAAUUGAUCCUUGGAACCCACAUAAAAAGCCAGAUGAGCAAACUUCAGGUAAGGAAGCUCUGCAGUAACCCACAGCACAUACCUCACUCAGCUCAGGGAAGUUGUCCUGUUGACAGAAGGGGCACUGCCACAGCCCUGUCUCGUCAUUUCGGAUGGCCUGGUCAUAGCUCUCACCCUGUGGGCGCCUGUGAGCGAUGCCCGUGACAUUACAGAUGAUGUUUUUCAAGACAGGGCUUCUUUGUAUAGUCUGAGCUAUUCUGGAACUUGCUCUGUAGACCAGCCUGGCUUCAAACUCAGAGAUCUGCCUACCUCUGCUUCCCCAGUGCUGAGAUUAAAGGCUUGUGACACCAU